GAUGAACGCUGGCGGCGUGCCUAAUACAUGCAAGUCGAGCGAACAGACGAGGAUCUUGCUCCUCUGACGUUAGCGGCGGACGGGUGAGUAACACGUGGAUAACCUACCUAUAAGACUGGGAUAACUUCGGGAAACCGGAGCUAAUACCGGAUAAUAUAUUGAACCGCAUGGUUCAAUAGUGAAAGACGGUUUUGCUGUCCCUUAUAGAUGGAUCCGCGCCGCAUUAGCUAGUUGGUAAGGUAACGGCUUACCAAGGCAACGAUGCGUAGCCGACCUGAGAGGGUGAUCGGCCACACUGGAACUGAGACACGGUCCAGACUCCUACGGGAGGCAGCAGUAGGGAAUCUUCCGCAAUGGGCGAAAGCUUGACGGAGCAACGCCGCGUGAGUGAUGAAGGUCUUCGGAUCGUAAAACUCUGUUAUUAGGGAAGAACAAAUGUGUAAGUAACUAUGCACGUCUUGACGGUACCUAAUCAGAAAGCCACGGCUAACUACGUG
Molecule: ribosomal RNA, 497 nt
Filed under: uncultured bacterium
Lineage: Bacteria
Description: partial 16S ribosomal RNA
Rfam family: Bacterial small subunit ribosomal RNA
Source: RNAcentral